This is a long non-coding RNA of Daphnia magna, 873 nucleotides long. RefSeq lists it as uncharacterized. NCBI's taxonomy places the organism in Eukaryota, Metazoa, Arthropoda, Branchiopoda, Diplostraca, Daphniidae. The transcript is spliced from 3 exons. The record is from RefSeq and is a predicted model, not a curated record.
GAGGCCUAAGAAAAAAAUAAAAUUUUAUUUAAAAAGUAUUCAACUUUGUUUCCGAAAGUAGAAUGCUUCUAUUCUGAAGACGCAGAAACAUAAUCCUGAUAAAUGGGGACGAAAUUUAACAGAUAAGGGGAUGAAAUAUGAUAUUUUGAUUUUUCGUUGGUCUAGUCUCGCCUCGAAUGUCCAUGCCCAUUUCGUACCCCUGCGUUUUAUUUUUAAUAUCUCCCCAGAGGUUAACAGCAUCUGCAGUAUACAUGAUAAGAACUUGCUGAUUUCAGUUUUGCUAAGAGGAUGUAUAAUGAACCAUUCUGUGUGCAAAUGUUAGAUUUGAAAUCCUUGUCACAUAGGAAGGAACCAGCUACUUUGUUGUUCAAGAACUAUUAGUGUUCCAACCCCAGCCAUUCAAAUAUUGUGGUACAUACCUUUAUCUGAGUCUGUGUAGAGUGUGUGGCACUCUUUCAGAAUUCUUUCAUUUAUGGAAAGCGUAGCCUGCUCUAACACUGCACUGGAACCACCUUGCCGUGAUUUGACUCUUCCAGACAUGACAAAACUAGCUGCCAAGCAAGCAAAAAGAUCUGAAAAACUUAAGAAAGAGAGAAAGAACAUUUCAAAUCGAAAUUUACUUAUCAAAAUAGAAACUCUAAGCGGACAUUAAAAGAUUUCUCUUAUUCUUGUCGGUCAAAAAAACCGACACGCAACCGACUAUUUCCUCUAGUUACAAAAUUACGGAAAUUGAAACUGAAUUUAAAAGCUGUAAAAUUAUGGAAACAGUUUUGACAGGACAUACUUGCUCUUGAAAUUCAACAGACUAGUUAACUGUAAGAGGCUAGAUGCCGGGAAUGUUGCCAAAUUUCGAGAGGACAAUCUACAACUCAA